CCUACGGGAGGCAGCAGUGGGGAAUAUUGCACAAUGGGGGAAACCCUGAUGCAGCACCGCCGCGUGAAGGAAGACGGUUUUCGGAGUGUAAACUUCUGUUCUUAGUGAAGAAUAAUGACGGUAGCUAAGGAGCAAGCCAAGGCUAAAUACGUGCCAGCAGCCGCGGUAAUACGUAGGUGGCAAGCGUUGUACGGAAUUACUGAGUGUAAAGGGAGCGCAGGCGGGAAGCCAAGUCAGCUGUGAAAACUACGGGCUUAACUUGUAGACUGCAGUUGAAACUGGUUUUCGUGAGUGAAGUAGAGGUAGGCGGAAUUCCGGGUGUAGCGGUGAAAUGCGUAGAUAUUCGGAGGAACACCGGUGGCGAAGGCGGCCAACUGGGCUUUAACUGACGCUGAGGCUCGAAAGUGUGGGGAGCAAACAGGAUUAGAUACCCGUGUAGUC
Molecule: ribosomal RNA, 441 nt
Filed under: uncultured bacterium
Lineage: Bacteria
Description: partial 16S ribosomal RNA
Rfam family: Bacterial small subunit ribosomal RNA
Source: RNAcentral